GACGAACGCUGGCGGCGUGCUUAACACAUGCAAGUCGAGCGGAAAGGCCCUUCGGGGUACUCGAGCGGCGAACGGGUGAGUAACACGUGAGUAACCUGCCCCAGAUUUUGGGAUAACCCUCGGAAACGGGGGCUAAUACCGGAUACGACACAGCUUCGCAUGGGGUCUGUGUGGAAAGUUUUGCGGUUUGGGAUGGGCUCGCGGCCUAUCAGCUUGUUGGUGGGGUGAUGGCCUACAAAGGCGACGAUGGGUAGCCGGCCUGAGAGGGGGACCGGCCACACUGGGACUGAGACACGGCCCAGACUCCUACGGGAGGCAGCAGUGGGGAAUAUUGCACAAUGGGCGGAAGCCUGAUGCAGCGACGCCGCGUGAGGGAUGACGGCCUUCGGGUUGUAAACCUCUUUCAGCAGGGACGAAGCGUAAGUGACGGUACCUGCAGAAGAAGCGCCGGCCAACUACGUG
RNAcentral lists this ribosomal RNA (462 nucleotides) under uncultured bacterium. RNAcentral's name for it is "partial 16S ribosomal RNA". It matches the Rfam family "Bacterial small subunit ribosomal RNA", at positions 28 to 507 of the family's 1533-position model. The record is from RNAcentral.